RNAcentral lists this ribosomal RNA (468 nucleotides) under uncultured bacterium. RNAcentral's name for it is "partial 16S ribosomal RNA". It matches the Rfam family "Bacterial small subunit ribosomal RNA", at positions 28 to 507 of the family's 1533-position model. The record is from RNAcentral.
GACGAACGCUGGCGGCGUGCUUAACACAUGCAAGUCGAACGGAAAGGCCCUGCUUUUGUGGGGUGCUCGAGUGGCGAACGGGUGAGUAACACGUGAGUAACCUGCCCUUGACUUUGGGAUAACUUCAGGAAACUGGGGCUAAUACCGGAUAGGAGCUCCUGCUGCAUGGUGGGGGUUGGAAAGUUUCGGCGGUUGGGGAUGGACUCGCGGCUUAUCAGCUUGUUGGUGGGGUAGUGGCUUACCAAGGCUUUGACGGGUAGCCGGACUGAGAGGGUGACCGGCCACAUUGGGACUGAGAGACGGCCCAGACUCCUACGGGAGGCAGCAGUGGGGAAUAUUGCACAAUGGGCGGAAGCCUGAUGCAGCAACGCCGCGUGCGGGAUGACGGCCUUCGGGUUGUAAACCGCUUUCGCCUGUGACGAAGCGUGAGUGACGGUAAUGGGUAAAGAAGCACCGGCUAACUACGUG